Termitomyces sp. 'cryptogamus' is the source of this 94-nucleotide non-coding RNA. The record is from the annotation of a GenBank genome assembly. NCBI's taxonomy places the organism in Eukaryota, Fungi, Basidiomycota, Agaricomycetes, Agaricales, Lyophyllaceae.
GGGGGCAUAGCUCAGCUGGGAGAGCAGCAGACUGAAGUGACGCUAUAACAUCUCCUUAUUCUGAAGGUCCCGCGUUCGAUCCGCGGUGCCCCCA